Hyaena hyaena (striped hyena) is the source of this 804-nucleotide long non-coding RNA. RefSeq lists it as uncharacterized. The transcript has 4 exons. The record is from RefSeq and is a predicted model, not a curated record. NCBI's taxonomy places the organism in Eukaryota, Metazoa, Chordata, Mammalia, Carnivora, Hyaenidae.
UCUUCAAAAAGGAUACAGGUUCAUUAUGAAUAUUGACACCAUAGCAGAAAGUAUAUGGAAGACAGUUGAAGAUAUGAUACAUAAUUCUAUAUCUGUAUAUAAUCACUUGAAUACAUUCCCAUCUCUACACAUACAUAGAAAAACAGAAAGGGAGAUGGAUGAACAGGCUGGAGUUGGAAUAUAGGCAAGACUAGAGUAAUCAUCUUGAGCCAUGAGAUGGAAACCAUGUUUUGGGAAUGGUAGAAAACAAGUUAUAAGAAAAUUUAGCCUCCAGCAGUAUUAAGCUAAGAUAACUGCACUUAUGAUGGUCACAUCCAGGACAGAGCACAAUUACACAUAAUCUCUAAGACUCCUAUAAAACUGAUAUGUUAUUCUACUUCAGUUUUUGGUUUUCACAUUUUUUCCCUCCACAAGGAUCUACAUGAGUCCAUAUAUGCGGCGCACCAUUUCCCAUUGGAAUACUUUAUAAUCGUCAAAGUGAGACUUUCCAGACAAAUAACUAUUUUCUAUAAUAAAGCAAAGAACCAGGUCGUGCGUUGCUCUGGCAGGAGAUCUGCCCUUGCUUUCUGCCUGACUGCGCACUAAAACAUCAUGGAGAGAAGGCACGGGCAGAGACAGUGAUGGGCAAUGACAGUUUUCUCAACAGUGUUUCUGCUUUGAAGAUUGUAGAAAGAUAAGGGCACCUCCAUGUCAGCAGUUUGAAAGAAAAUUUCUUGUUUGACAACUAUGGCAUGCAGUGGAGAUUCUUGUGAUUUGGUUGUUUACAGCAUUUGAAAAAAUGUCACAGUUGCAGUAAAUAUCAAU